UACGGGGGGGAGCAAGCGUUGUUCGGAUUUACUGGGCGUAAAGGGCGCGUAGGCGGCCAGCACAAGUCAGUUGUGAAAUCUCCGAGCUUAACUCGGAACGGUCAACUGAUACUGUGCGGCUAGAGUGCGGAAGGGGCAACUGGAAUUCUUGGUGUAGCGGUGAAAUGCGUAGAUAUCAAGAGGAACACCUGCGGCGAAGGCGGGUUGCUGGGCUGAUACUGACGCUGAGGCGCGAAAGCUAGGGGAGCAAACGGG
This 255-nucleotide ribosomal RNA is filed under the name uncultured bacterium. RNAcentral describes it as "partial 16S ribosomal RNA". It matches the Rfam family "Bacterial small subunit ribosomal RNA", at positions 524 to 776 of the family's 1533-position model. The record is from RNAcentral.